This 1789-nucleotide ribosomal RNA is filed under the name Escherichia coli. Its description in RNAcentral is "partial 23S ribosomal RNA". It matches the Rfam family "Bacterial large subunit ribosomal RNA", at positions 869 to 2640 of the family's 2925-position model. Lineage: Bacteria; Pseudomonadati; Pseudomonadota; Gammaproteobacteria; Enterobacterales; Enterobacteriaceae. The record is from RNAcentral.
UUUAGGUAGCGCCUCGUGAAUUCAUCUCCGGGGGUAGAGCACUGUUUCGGCAAGGGGGUCAUCCCGACUUACCAACCCGAUGCAAACUGCGAAUACCGGAGAAUGUUAUCACGGGAGACACACGGCGGGUGCUAACGUCCGUCGUGAAGAGGGAAACAACCCAGACCGCCAGCUAAGGUCCCAAAGUCAUGGUUAAGUGGGAAACGAUGUGGGAAGGCCCAGACAGCCAGGAUGUUGGCUUAGAAGCAGCCAUCAUUUAAAGAAAGCGUAAUAGCUCACUGGUCGAGUCGGCCUGCGCGGAAGAUGUAACGGGGCUAAACCAUGCACCGAAGCUGCGGCAGCGACGCUUAUGCGUUGUUGGGUAGGGGAGCGUUCUGUAAGCCUGCGAAGGUGUGCUGUGAGGCAUGCUGGAGGUAUCAGAAGUGCGAAUGCUGACAUAAGUAACGAUAAAGCGGGUGAAAAGCCCGCUCGCCGGAAGACCAAGGGUUCCUGUCCAACGUUAAUCGGGGCAGGGUGAGUCGACCCCUAAGGCGAGGCCGAAAGGCGUAGUCGAUGGGAAACAGGUUAAUAUUCCUGUACUUGGUGUUACUGCGAAGGGGGGACGGAGAAGGCUAUGUUGGCCGGGCGACGGUUGUCCCGGUUUAAGCGUGUAGGCUGGUUUUCCAGGCAAAUCCGGAAAAUCAAGGCUGAGGCGUGAUGACGAGGCACUACGGUGCUGAAGCAACAAAUGCCCUGCUUCCAGGAAAAGCCUCUAAGCAUCAGGUAACAUCAAAUCGUACCCCAAACCGACACAGGUGGUCAGGUAGAGAAUACCAAGGCGCUUGAGAGAACUCGGGUGAAGGAACUAGGCAAAAUGGUGCCGUAACUUCGGGAGAAGGCACGCUGAUAUGUAGGUGAAGUCCCUUGCGGAUGGAGCUGAAAUCAGUCGAAGAUACCAGCUGGCUGCAACUGUUUAUUAAAAACACAGCACUGUGCAAACACGAAAGUGGACGUAUACGGUGUGACGCCUGCCCGGUGCCGGAAGGUUAAUUGAUGGGGUCAGCGCAAGCGAAGCUCUUGAUCGAAGCCCCGGUAAACGGCGGCCGUAACUAUAACGGUCCUAAGGUAGCGAAAUUCCUUGUCGGGUAAGUUCCGACCUGCACGAAUGGCGUAAUGAUGGCCAGGCUGUCUCCACCCGAGACUCAGUGAAAUUGAACUCGCUGUGAAGAUGCAGUGUACCCGCGGCAAGACGGAAAGACCCCGUGAACCUUUACUAUAGCUUGACACUGAACAUUGAGCCUUGAUGUGUAGGAUAGGUGGGAGGCUUUGAAGUGUGGACGCCAGUCUGCAUGGAGCCGACCUUGAAAUACCACCCUUUAAUGUUUGAUGUUCUAACGUGGACCCGUAAUCCGGGUUGCGGACAGUGUCUGGUGGGUAGUUUGACUGGGGCGGUCUCCUCCUAAAGAGUAACGGAGGAGCACGAAGGUUGGCUAAUCCUGGUCGGACAUCAGGAGGUUAGUGCAAUGGCAUAAGCCAGCUUGACUGCGAGCGUGACGGCGCGAGCAGGUGCGAAAGCAGGUCAUAGUGAUCCGGUGGUUCUGAAUGGAAGGGCCAUCGCUCAACGGAUAAAAGGUACUCCGGGGAUAACAGGCUGAUACCGCCCAAGAGUUCAUAUCGACGGCGGUGUUUGGCACCUCGAUGUCGGCUCAUCACAUCCUGGGGCUGAAGUAGGUCCCAAGGGUAUGGCUGUUCGCCAUUUAAAGUGGUACGCGAGCUGGGUUUAGAACGUCGUGAGACAGUUCGGUCCCUA